This 207-nucleotide ribosomal RNA is filed under the name uncultured bacterium. Its description in RNAcentral is "partial 16S ribosomal RNA". It matches the Rfam family "Bacterial small subunit ribosomal RNA", at positions 568 to 774 of the family's 1533-position model. The record is from RNAcentral.
CGCGUAGGCGGGCUGCCGCGUCCGGGGUGAAAUCCUCCCGCUUAACGGGAGAACGGCCUCGGAUACGGGCGGCCUCGAGGGGGGUAGGGGCAUCUGGAACUGUGAGUGGAGCGGUGAAAUGCGUUGAUAUUCACAGGAACUCCGGUGGCGAAGGCGAGGUGCUGGACCCCAUCUGACGCUGAGGCGCGAAAGCCAGGGGAGCGAACG